GGAAAGUCUGGAUUCCCUGCUCCUCUCAGCCCAGCACCCACUGAGCACCUGCUUGUGCUCUGCUCUGUGUAAAGUCCUCCAAACCCUGCCCUUGAAAUGCUCUAGCUGCGGACGUAUGUGAGGACCCAGAGCAGCAUUUCAGGAAUGACUUGGGGAACACAGAGUGCCUUGGGGCUCUGCAGUGGGAGGCUAUAUCUGCUGUGGGGUGUUUCAUGAAGAAAACAGCAUUUGAGUUCGGGCUGGGUGGAUAAAUAGGAUUUUGACAGGUGGAGAGGAAAGGGCAUUGUGGGUAGGAGGGGUGGGUGGGCAGAAGCCCAGAGGCGAGGUGGUGCUCAGAGGUCCACUGUGACCCCAGCACAAAGAAGCACAGGAAUAAGGAAGACUGGCCUACGUGCAGGAGACCAUCCAAGAAGCAAUUGCAAAAGCUCUGUCAAACAUCUCCAGGGCCCAGGAACAAGAAGCUAGACUGAAGCUGUGUGUGGUGGCGCACGCCUGUAAUCCCAGCAC
Fukomys damarensis (Damara mole-rat) is the source of this 507-nucleotide long non-coding RNA. RefSeq lists it as uncharacterized. The record is from RefSeq and is a predicted model, not a curated record. The transcript is spliced from 3 exons. NCBI's taxonomy places the organism in Eukaryota, Metazoa, Chordata, Mammalia, Rodentia, Bathyergidae.